UCCUGGGUGGCUCAGUGGUAAAGAAUCUGCCUGCCAAUGCAGGAGACACAGGUUCGAUCCCUGUAUCGGGAA
RNAcentral lists this transfer RNA (72 nucleotides) under Bos taurus (domestic cattle). It matches the Rfam family "tRNA". Rfam says of the family: Transfer RNA (tRNA) molecules are approximately 80 nucleotides in length. Their secondary structure includes four short double-helical elements and three loops (D, anti-codon, and T loops). Further hydrogen bonds mediate the characteristic L-shaped molecular structure. tRNAs have two regions of fundamental functional importance: the anti-codon, which is responsible for specific mRNA codon recognition, and the 3' end, to which the tRNAs corresponding amino acid is attached (by aminoacyl-tRNA synthetases). tRNAs cope with the degeneracy of the genetic code in two manners: having more than one tRNA (with a specific anti-codon) for a particular amino acid; and 'wobble' base-pairing, i.e. permitting non-standard base-pairing at the 3rd anti-codon position. Lineage: Eukaryota; Metazoa; Chordata; Mammalia; Artiodactyla; Bovidae. The record is from Rfam by way of RNAcentral. RNAcentral also lists the same sequence under 2 other names.